RNAcentral lists this ribosomal RNA (497 nucleotides) under uncultured Glomeromycotina. RNAcentral's name for it is "partial small subunit ribosomal RNA". It matches the Rfam family "Eukaryotic small subunit ribosomal RNA", at positions 591 to 1092 of the family's 1831-position model. Lineage: Eukaryota; Fungi; Glomeromycota. The record is from RNAcentral.
CCAAUAGCGUAUAUUAAAGUUGUUGCAGUUAAAAAGCUCGUAGUUGAAUUUCGGGAUCAAUACGUCGGUCGUGCCUCGGUACGUACUGGCGUUACUGGUUCCUACCUUCUGAGGAACCGUCAUGUCAUUAAUUUGGUGUGGUGGGAAAUCAGGACUGUUACUUUGAAAAAAUUAGAGUGUUUAAAGCAGGCUCGCGCUUGAAUACAUUAGCAUGGAAUAAUGAAAUAGGACGUUCGAUCCUAUUUUGUUGGUUUCUAGGAUUGACGUAAUGAUUAAUAGGGAUAGUUGGGGGCAUUAGUAUUCAAUUGUCAGAGGUGAAAUUCUUGGAUUUAUUGAAGACUAACUACUGCGAAAGCAUUUGCCAAGGAUGUUUUCAUUAAUCAAGAACGAAAGUUAGGGGAUCGAAGACGAUCAGAUACCGUCGUAGUCUUAACCAUAAACUAUGCCGACUAGGGAUCGGAUGAUGUUAUUUUUAAUGACUCAUUCGGCGCCUUACG